GACGAACGCUGGCGGCGUGCUUAACACAUGCAAGUCGAACGGAAAGGCCCCUUUGGGGGUCCUCGAGUGGUGAACGGGUGCGUAACACGUGCGUAACCUGCACUUGCCUUUGGGACAACUUUAGGAAACUGGGGCUAAUACCGGUUAGGAAUCAUUGCUGCAAGGGGGGGGUUGGAAAGUUACGGCGGUUUUGGAUGUACCCGCGGCAUAUCGGCUUGUUGGGGGGGUUGUGGCUUACCGAGGCGUCGUCGGGUAGCCGGCCUGCGGGGGCGACCGGCGACAUUGGGACUGAGGGACGGCCCAGACACCGACUGGAGGCAACAGGGGGGAAUAUUGCACAAGGGGCGGAAGCCUGAUGCAGCAACGCCGCGGGCGGGAUGACUGCCUUCGGGGUGUAAACCGCUUGCAGCAGGGGCGAAGCUUGUGGUGACGGUACCUGCAGAAGAAGCACCGGCUAACUACGUG
RNAcentral lists this ribosomal RNA (465 nucleotides) under uncultured bacterium. Its description in RNAcentral is "partial 16S ribosomal RNA". It matches the Rfam family "Bacterial small subunit ribosomal RNA", at positions 28 to 507 of the family's 1533-position model. The record is from RNAcentral.